ACAAAACUAGCUACUUGUCAUUUUUUAAUUGGUUUUAAUGUGUUAAAAUUUUAUAAGAACCAAUUUGAAAAUGACAAGUAGCUAGUUUUGA
Molecule: microRNA precursor, 91 nt
Filed under: Prunus persica (peach)
Lineage: Eukaryota; Viridiplantae; Streptophyta; Magnoliopsida; Rosales; Rosaceae
Description: MIR6288 microRNA precursor family
Rfam family: MIR6288 microRNA precursor family
Source: Rfam by way of RNAcentral